Molecule: ribosomal RNA, 1355 nt
Filed under: uncultured bacterium
Lineage: Bacteria
Description: bacterial SSU rRNA
Rfam family: Bacterial small subunit ribosomal RNA
Source: RNAcentral
AUUGAACUUUGGCGGCAGGCUUAACACAUGCAAGUCGAACGAUGAAACUCUAGCUUGCUAGAGAAGAUUAGUGGCGGACGGGUGAGUAACAUUUAGGAAUCUGCCUAGUAGUGGGGGAUAGCUCGGGGAAACUCGAAUUAAUACCGCAUACGACCUACGGGUGAAAGGGGGCGCAAGCUCUUGCUAUUAGAUGAGCCUAAAUCAGAUUAGCUAGUUGGUGGGGUAAAGGCCCACCAAGGCGACCAUCUGUAACUGGUCUGAGAGGAUGAUCAGUCACACCGGAACUGAGACACGGUCCGGACUCCUACGGGAGGCAGCAGUGGGGAAUAUUGGACAAUGGGGGCAACCCUGAUCCAGCCAUGCCGCGUGUGUGAAGAAGGCCUUUUGGUUGUAAAGCACUUUAAGCAGGGAGGAGAGGCUAAUGGUUAAUACCCAUUAGAUUAGACGUUACCUGCAGAAUAAGCACCGGCUAACUCUGUGCCAGCAGCCGCGGUAAUACAGAGGGUGCGAGCGUUAAUCGGAAUUACUGGGCGUAAAGCGAGUGUAGGUGGCUCAUUAAGUCACAUGUGAAAUCCCCGGGCUUAACCUGGGAACUGCAUGUGAUACUGGUGGUGCUAGAAUAUGUGAGAGGGAAGUAGAAUUCCAGGUGUAGCGGUGAAAUGCGUAGAGAUCUGGAGGAAUACCGAUGGCGAAGGCAGCUUCCUGGCAUAAUAUUGACACUGAGAUUCGAAAGCGUGGGUAGCAAACAGGAUCAGAUACCCUGGUAGUCCACGCCGUAAACGAUGUCUACUAGCCGUUGGGGUCCUUGAGACUUUAGUGGCGCAGUUAACGCGAUAAGUAGACCGCCUGGGGAGUACGGCCGCAAGGUUAAAACUCAAAUGAAUUGACGGGGGCCCGCACAAGCGGUGGAGCAUGUGGUUUAAUUCGAUGCAACGCGAAGAACCUUACCUGGUCUUGACAUAGUGAGAAUCCUGCAGAGAUGCGGGAGUGCCUUCGGGAAUUCACAUACAGGUGCUGCAUGGCUGUCGUCAGCUCGUGUCGUGAGAUGUUGGGUUAAGUCCCGCAACGAGCGCAACCCUUCUCCUUAUUUGCCAGCGGGUUAAGCCGGGAACUUUAAGGAUACUGCCAGUGACAAACUGGAGGAAGGCGGGGACGACGUCAAGUCAUCAUGGCCCUUACGACCAGGGCUACACACGUGCUACAAUGGUAGGUACAGAGGGUUGCUACACAGCGAUGUGAUGCUAAUCUCAAAAAGCCUAUCGUAGUCCGGAUUGGAGUCUGCAACUCGACUCCAUGAAGUCGGAAUCGCUAGUAAUCGCGGAUCAGAAUGCCCCGGUGAAUACGUUCCCGGGGCU